This 1765-nucleotide long non-coding RNA is filed under the name Drosophila guanche. Lineage: Eukaryota; Metazoa; Arthropoda; Insecta; Diptera; Drosophilidae. The record is from RNAcentral.
GUCAAUGUUAACCAUAUUAAAUUAUGAUAGUAAUUAUGAUAGUAAUGGUCCAGGGUGACAUAUAACCUUUGGUGUUGUCUUCCAAAUCGUUCACUCAUGGACUCAGGGCCACUCUUCUAUCCUGAUUAUCAAUAACGCAUCAAUAACAGUUCAUCCCUGGGGUUUUCGGUUUGCCGACAAACUCCUCAUGUCCACAGUGCAAAAGCCACACUGCAGGCAUACAAUAGGCAUUGUAAAAAGCUCGUAUUGGUACCGUUGGUAGCACCACAACACCCUCAGUGUCCUGAUCAUUGCUGCGCUAAAAGUGUUUGGAAGUUGGAAGUAUUUCUCCCUCGAACAUGGUGCGCGCGGACAUGCUGCCGAUGAUGGUGUUGGUGUCGGCAAUGCAGUUGGGCGUCCGAACAAUUUUGCGAUUGUGCAUGCCUCUUUGGCCUGAGAAAAGGUGCUAAAGCGGCUGUAAAGGCAAAACCUGGAUCACAACCUGAUGGCCGUUGCCGCCGAUGGCUGCUUUACGAGCUGACGCCUCGCAGAGAUAUCCCGUCCUGUACGACUUCCAUUAUUUAAGAAACAGAAUGUGGACAUUGCCUUCGCGUCCAUAUACACAAUCGGGUAUAAUUGGGAGAAUUAGUUCCGAACCAUUGACGAGGUCAAUCCACCGGACAAUGUAAACGCCGUUCACGUUUAGGAACUCCAGCAAAUUCAGGAUGUAGUGCGAUGAAAGUUGGCUAUGGAUGAAUUUCCAUUCAACCUGAGGCAGCUGGAAUCUUUCGGAGAAUCUUUAAGUCUCAACAUGCUGCAGCUAUUCAGGAUUAUAAAUAAAACAUCCAGCCGUAAAACUAUUCAGCUGGGUGCUGGGCAUCUUGGUGAGCUUGACGGACCACAAGGACUUGCGUUAAGUUGUUGGUUCAAGAUUCCUUAGCAUUAGAUUUGUAAUUUUGUAACUAAAACUAAAUUGGUGUGCGUUGGCAUAACACAAAAAAUCAUUGCAUCAAAAGAACUUUGAACAACGCCAUACCGCACCGAAACGAUUCUCCAGACCAACCUCAAUGUACAUACAUAUGCACAUGUAUGAACACAUGCACAUGUAUGAACAUAUGUAUGUACAUAUAUACUGACGUUACGAAUAUAAAAGUAGUGACGCGUAGGAACACGACUCACAAAGUUCCUUCUUGCUCAUUAUUCAAUGCUCAAGGAACCAAAGAGGGGCAACAGUUGGACACCAAGAAUAUGGACGAGUCCCAUUCUGAGACGUUGGACAUCGAGGCGCUGUGUCCGGCUCCAUAAGUAUAACUUGUCGCGGUCCCCUAGGACCGAAACAGGAUGGUCGAGGAGGACUUAGGUCGACAUAAAAUCUUCUCAUCUGAUUGCAGAGCUUCCGUGUUAGUGUAAUUAUUAUUUAUAAGGGUUUUUAACUAUUGUAUUUGACUACAUACAUACAGGUAUAGAAGUAAUGGAGAUCGUGAGUCAUUGGAUUCGUUAAGUAUUUUUUAUACCCGGUACUCGAAGAGUAAAUAGGGUAUAUUGUAUUUGUGCGAAUAACGGUUGUAUGUAACGCACAGAAGGAAACGUUUCCGACCCCAUAAAGUAUAUAUAUAUUCUUAAUGAGCAUCAAUCGCCGAGUCGAUAUAGCCAUGUCUGUCUGUCCGUCUCUCCGUCUUGUUGUCGGCUACUUCUCAGAGACUAUAAGAGCUAGAGCCACCAAAUGUUGCAUCCAGAUUGCUGUAUGCUCACACUGAAACCAGUGUAUUUAAAAAAUUAGCCCCGC